CACGGAGGACUCCACGAGCCCUUUGAUGAUGGCAUCUCCUGCCUCGGAAACUGCUUUCAGAGCCGCUGGGAGCAGCCAGCAGCCGGUUAGCGACCGGGCAGCAGAAAACCGCACUUCGGAUUUCCAACCGGGAACGUCCAGCCCCGCGAGCCAGCCCCGGGCCUCGUCCCCGUGGACGCGGGGCGCCAGCGUCUCGCCAGGAGCCACGCGGCUCGCCGGGCCCUCCGUGGACCACCGGCUGCCGCCUCCUCCGGGAAGCGCUGGCCCAGCCAUUGGAAGCAGCUACCAGCCAUCCAACUUCUCAGCAGCAGAGGAGAGAAUUUCUCAUUUUCCUACCACCAGUACGUACGUUUCGACACCAUCCACCAGAGGUGGAGGAAGGAUGUUAAGGUCGCUACCAAGCAGCACCAGCCUGACCAAUGCAACGGAGAUUUCCACCUCCAGUACCGAAACGAUCCACCCUUUGGAUCAGACCCAGUCGUCUGGGACAUCUUUGGCAGCAGAGGCUGGUGGUGGUGCAGGUGCCACUGCACCGUUCACGGACCCGUUGCUCUCGGACUCUGCAUCUGCUUCGGGAAGCACUUCCAAAAGUGAGUUUUGAUAGCUAGUUCUAUAACUUGGAACAUUAUUUAAA
This 634-nucleotide long non-coding RNA is filed under the name Apteryx rowi (Okarito brown kiwi). RNAcentral's name for it is "lncRNA (ENSARWG00000017645.1)". Lineage: Eukaryota; Metazoa; Chordata; Aves; Apterygiformes; Apterygidae. The record is from RNAcentral.